Molecule: long non-coding RNA, 218 nt
Filed under: Mytilus galloprovincialis (Mediterranean mussel)
Lineage: Eukaryota; Metazoa; Mollusca; Bivalvia; Mytilida; Mytilidae
Source: RNAcentral
UAAAUUUGGACGUAGACUUUUUGUCAGCAUUGCUAUCGGAAUAGACUGUGCAUCCCUUGUCGAUCUCUUUUUAUUUUCAUAUGAAUAAGAGUUUCUUCAGACGCUGACUUGUCAAAAACAAGAUCAAAGAAGCCAGCUCAUCUAAUUUAACAAUAUAUAUUGAUGAUGUUCUUUCCAUUAAAAUAUAUGCCACAUAACUAGAAAUUAAAGAAAACAAC